GCCGAGGUAGGAGCAAAUCUCAAAAAAACAAUCUCAGUUCAGACUGCAGGCUGCAACUCGCCUGCACGAAGUCGGAAUUGCUAGUAAUCGUAGGUCAGCAUACUACGGUGAAUACGUUCCCGGGCCUUGUACACACCGCCCGUCAAACCAUGAGAGUUGGCAACACCCGAAGUCGGUAGUCUAACCGCAAGGAGGACGCCGCCGAAGGUGGGGUUGAUGAUUAGGGUUAAGUCGUAACAAGGUAUC
This 246-nucleotide ribosomal RNA is filed under the name uncultured bacterium. Its description in RNAcentral is "partial 16S ribosomal RNA". It matches the Rfam family "Bacterial small subunit ribosomal RNA", at positions 1255 to 1500 of the family's 1533-position model. The record is from RNAcentral.